UGUAGUUUAAUGGUAAAACCUCAGCCUUCCAAGCUGAUGACGAGGGUUCGAUUCCCUUCACCCGCUUACCA
This 71-nucleotide transfer RNA is filed under the name Exiguobacterium sp. RNAcentral's name for it is "tRNA-Gly". It matches the Rfam family "tRNA". Rfam says of the family: Transfer RNA (tRNA) molecules are approximately 80 nucleotides in length. Their secondary structure includes four short double-helical elements and three loops (D, anti-codon, and T loops). Lineage: Bacteria; Bacillati; Bacillota; Bacilli; Caryophanales. The record is from RNAcentral.